AAACCGGGGGAACAACCUGGCUCAAUGGAUCGAUGAAGACCGCAGC
RNAcentral lists this ribosomal RNA (46 nucleotides) under Culicoides pulicaris. RNAcentral's name for it is "partial 5.8S ribosomal RNA". Lineage: Eukaryota; Metazoa; Arthropoda; Insecta; Diptera; Ceratopogonidae. The record is from RNAcentral.